UUCCACAAGAUAAGAAUAUGGAAAAAUAUGAUAAAGAUAUUCGAUUAAUUAUAUAUGGUCAUAAUUUAUCUAAUUAUAUUUUAAAAAAUGAAGAUAUAUGUAAUCAUAAAAGGAUUUUACAACAUAUAGAAGAAUAUUGUGUAAUUGAGUCAAAAAUAUUAAAUGUUUAUUAUAGUUUAAGUAAAGGGAAAUAUAAUAAUAAUGGUGAAAGUAAUAUAUCUCAAAAUAAAAGAAUAAAAAAAAAAAAAAAAAAAAAAAAGAAAAAAAAAAUGAAAGGGAGUUAAAUGUGGGAAGUAAAAACAGGAGUAGUAAAAAUGGAAGUAGUAAAAAUGGAAGUAGUAAAAAUGGAAGUAGUAAAAAUGGAAGUAGUAAAAGAGAAGUAGAGAAAGAAUGGAAUAAAAAACGGGAAUACCAGCA
Molecule: long non-coding RNA, 417 nt
Filed under: Piliocolobus tephrosceles (Ugandan red Colobus)
Lineage: Eukaryota; Metazoa; Chordata; Mammalia; Primates; Cercopithecidae
Description: lncRNA (ENSPTEG00000020464.1)
Source: RNAcentral